Echinops telfairi (small Madagascar hedgehog) is the source of this 387-nucleotide long non-coding RNA. RefSeq lists it as uncharacterized. The record is from RefSeq and is a predicted model, not a curated record. The transcript is spliced from 3 exons. Lineage: Eukaryota; Metazoa; Chordata; Mammalia; Afrosoricida; Tenrecidae.
CAACUACACAUAGCAGAAGAAGCUUCCAGCCUAACAUCUGACCCAUGGACUUGGACCGUGCCCAGACUUGGAACUCUCCAGCCAUCAAGUAUCCCCUGAAGUGACCCUGGAAGUGAUGUGACCAGCCCAGCGUUCCCUCCCAGCAUGGUUUCCAAACAGAGCAGAUGUGCUCUCCUCCCGGUGGCUAUGGGCUUGGAACAGAGAGAAAUGUUCUCAGCUGGCCCGCAGACCAGCACCGACGUCAGCACUUGGCUCCUGCCCAGGUCUGGACCUGUCAGUAGUAGAAGGAAGCCGAGGCUUGGAGAGGGGACGUCAUCUGUUCCUGGGUAGCAGAUGCCAAAGGCCGGAGUGGAACCAGAUCUAUUCAGCUUGAAAUCCUUCACCGGU